AACAGUCACCAAAAGGAAUAAUUAUUUGAGAUAAACAAUAUUCAGAUAACACAGGUCUUUAAUUAGAAAAAUGGUAUGAUUUCUGCAUUGAUGUAGUCUGUGAUAGUUGUAGCCUAAAGAGCAGAGGACAUUGAAAGCUGCAGCAUUAGUUGAUACCAUUGAUGUUUGCUUUUCAAUUAAAUUUUGGAUAAUAACAGAUGAGAAAUAUAUGGAUUUUUAAAAAUCAUGGAGCUAUUCUGUGUUACUCUUUUCAUUCUUGUCUGGAAAUGUAUCUCUGUACUUACCUAUGUCUAUACAGGUCUAUCUAAACAUAUCUCUCCCACAACCCAAAGACCAACAUGACAGUCAUUUAGUCAUUAAUGAAGCUAUCAAGUUGCUCUACUGUGUGUGUAGAUGCUUUAUUUAAAAUAUUUUACUUUCCUAUUCAGUUCCUAUUCAAUUAAAAU
This is a long non-coding RNA of Perognathus longimembris pacificus (Pacific pocket mouse), 446 nucleotides long. RefSeq lists it as uncharacterized. The record is from RefSeq and is a predicted model, not a curated record. NCBI's taxonomy places the organism in Eukaryota, Metazoa, Chordata, Mammalia, Rodentia, Heteromyidae. The transcript has 3 exons.